UUUAGGCAACUGAUGAUUUCCUAUAUGUAAUGGGUAAUUUGCGUCUGAUAAUUGAUAAUGAUGCUAUCACCUUGGAGAUCUGAUGCCAUUU
Small nucleolar RNA from Hibiscus syriacus, 91 nucleotides. The record is from RefSeq and is a predicted model, not a curated record. NCBI's taxonomy places the organism in Eukaryota, Viridiplantae, Streptophyta, Magnoliopsida, Malvales, Malvaceae.